GACGAACGCUGGCGGCGUGCUUAACACAUGCAAGUCGAACGAUGAAGCUGGAGCUUGCUCCGGUGGAUUAGUGGCGAACGGGUGAGUAACACGUGAGCAAUCUGCCCUUGACUCUGGGAUAACUGCGGGAAACUGUAGCUAAUACCGGAUACGAGGCUCGAAGGCAUCUUCGGGUCUGGAAAGAAUUUCGGUCAAGGAUGAGCUCGCGGCCUAUCAGCUUGUUGGUGAGGUAAUGGCUCACCAAGGCGACGACGGGUAGCCGGCCUGAGAGGGGGACCGGCCACACUGGGACUGAGACACGGCCCAGACUCCUACGGGAGGCAGCAGUGGGGAAUAUUGCACAAUGGGCGAAAGCCUGAUUCAGCAACGCCGCGUGAGGGAUGAAGGCCUUCGGGUUGUAAACCUCUUUUAGCAGGGAAGAAGCGAGAGUGACGGUACCUGCAGAAAAAGCACCGGCUAACUACGUGCCAGCAGCCGCCGUAA
This 483-nucleotide ribosomal RNA is filed under the name uncultured bacterium. Its description in RNAcentral is "partial 16S ribosomal RNA". It matches the Rfam family "Bacterial small subunit ribosomal RNA", at positions 28 to 523 of the family's 1533-position model. The record is from RNAcentral.